GACAUGUUUCAGGAGUCACACCCAAGAACCUUGCUGCUGCUGAGAUGAGUCAUGCUAAAAAAAUUUUUUUUUUUUUUUUUUGGAAACACCAUUUCAUUUUUGGAUUGCUGCUGCUUAUGAAAUAAUCAUGCAGCUAACAUUACUUUCUGAAGCAGAAGAGUUGUUUGCAGACUGUGAAGAAAUUGAAGGUUUUAGUUGUUUUUGCAGAGAAAUGCUGAAGUUACUGUGAACGGCAACUUCAGCAUGCAAAGUGUAAGCAUAAAUGCACUUUUUUCAUUUCCGUAUUUAUUUUUUAGUUAUGACAUAGCACAACCAAACUGGAUGACAGCUGAAACCUGAGCUACCUGUGCCAUGCCAUUCAUUGCAAUAUAUAUUGAUAUAGUGUUGUUUUUUUUUAAAUAGGUUAUGUCCCUACUGUCCUUUUCAAGUGAAGGUUUUCUCCAAAGAGGCACCCCCUGUCCAAAUCAGGAAAAGCAAGUUCUAUCUUUUGGCACCUUACUGCGCUCUGGAGCAUUUGAGUUUGUAAUCUGGUACUUGUAAUCUGAAGAUUACCAGUACAGUGUUCAAUAUUUGAAAGAGAGCAGCAAGAAUCUAGCAGCAGGCAAAAACUCACUGGUGAAAUCAUAUGUGAAACAGGAAAUUGCUGCAGAACAGCAGGAAUGAGUUUCUGGCAGGGAAUAUAGGCUAGCACUUAUAUAGUACAAGAAUUAAAAAAAAAAACAAAAAUACUCUUGCACAUAUAUUCAGAAAAGCUUCACAUUGAGUAGAUGAGAUGAAGAUUUGCUGCCUGUGACAGGUCCUCCAGCAGAGGUCAGGGAAGACAGCUGGUAGCAGCAGCUCAACAACAGUGAGUCUGCAGAGUCUGAGCUUUGCUUUUGCAUACUCUCCUGGUGAAUGCUGUGACUCCAUCUAUUGACAAAGCACUUUCCAGGACAACUUAAAUAAGCAGAUAUGCUAUAGAAAUUUCUUUUUUCCCCAGAAACUAUAUUAUGGUGAAAGUUUAUCACCUCAUAAGUGGCACUUUACAUCAAAGCAGGAAAGAUGAGCAGAAAGACACUACAGACAAAGAAGGAAUGGCUCUAAGAGAAGAAGGGACUGGAAUAGUUAAGGUACGGAAUACAGCAGUUUUUCAAAGGCUGUUUUUAUGAUUGUCAAUAGCUAGCAAUUAAUUUGAAUACUUUUAAAUAUUUAACCUAUAAAACCUAAAACACUGAGUUCUUGAUGCCUG
This 1228-nucleotide long non-coding RNA is filed under the name Apteryx rowi (Okarito brown kiwi). Its description in RNAcentral is "lncRNA (ENSARWG00000009405.1)". Lineage: Eukaryota; Metazoa; Chordata; Aves; Apterygiformes; Apterygidae. The record is from RNAcentral.